GACGUAGGGCGCGAGCGUUGUCCGGAUUUAUUGGGCGUAAAGAGCUCGUAGGCGGCUUGUCGCGUCGACCGUGAAAACUUGGGGCUCAACCCCAAGCCUGCGGUCGAUACGGGCAGGCUCGAGUUCGGUAGGGGAGACUGGAAUUCCUGGUGUAGCGGUGAAAUGCGCAGAUAUCAGGAGGAACACCAAUUGCGAAGGCAGCUCGCUGGGACGUUACUGACGCUGAGGAGCGAAAGCGUGGGGAGCGAACAGG
RNAcentral lists this ribosomal RNA (253 nucleotides) under uncultured bacterium. RNAcentral's name for it is "partial 16S ribosomal RNA". It matches the Rfam family "Bacterial small subunit ribosomal RNA", at positions 524 to 776 of the family's 1533-position model. The record is from RNAcentral.